AUCGAUAAUAUAAUCGAUUUUGCUCAUUCUCUUCUCUACGUACAUAACAAAUUUUGUCCUCACAAUUUCUCUAGUAGCGUGAAUUUUUUUAUAAAACAUUUCUUCUACAUAUGUGAAUGUUAGAGGUGAAGGCCAGUAAAACAAAAAUACUUUGAGAUAAAACAUAAUUAGAAGUUUUUUCAAAAUGUCCGCUGGUUGUUCUCAUUCACGCCAAAGACAAUUUUUACGCUACGGCGGUAACAUACAAGAAUUGCGUGAGCAAUUACAUCAGGAAAUCGAAAACAAAGCAAAACGUUGUUCCAACUCAACCUACGAAUGUUCAAUACCACGUGUCGAUGGCUAUGAAUAUUGUAUGCGGCAUAUUUUACAGGAUCCCUGUGGAAACUUCCGCCAAUGCACUUUUAAUUAUGGAAACGGCCGCAAAUGUGCCAAUGCACUACAAAAGCAUGACAUAAAAAAAGAUCCAGCAUUGACAACGCUCUGUUUUGAACAUAAUCGCCAAGCGCAGCUCCAGAAGACACAUGCAACAGUUGGAAAAUUGAAGCGCACCGAUACCAAUGAAGUAUUGUUGAAUAAUUUAGCACAUCACAUCAAUGUUGAAGAUGUACAGCAGGAAGAAGCAAUUGCAGAGCAAGAUGAAGAAAUUGAUGUGGUGUCACCUCAUGUGGCGCCAUUUGUCGCAUACGAUCAGGUUAAUAGCCUUAAUGCUGCCUUAUCGAACAUGCAAAAGAGACGGCGCAUCCUGGAUUAUGCAUCUGAUAGCAACAGCGAAGAUAAUGAACCACCCAGUAUAAACAACACAGCGCGUGGUUAUGAUUUCAACGAGUCGGACGAUGAUAGUGCAGACUCGGCACCUGAGGAUUUAAUGAAGCAUGCUGGCAUUUACACACGUGAAGAAGCUGUGCGUAUUGCUGAAGCAAAACUCACAAAACUGCAAGGCUUGUACAUUGAUCAAAUCAAUAGUUUGCAUCACACACUUAAAGAACGCCGGCGUCGCUAUUUACAAACCUUGCGUAAGGAACGUGAAAUGUUAUGUAGCAUACAUGAUCAAUUGAAGGACUCGCCGCGCGAACGUAAACUCUACGAUCAACUUAAGGCGCUUAACACAUAUCAUCGGCGUUAUGGAGUUGAAGCAGUGCUCUAUAAGAAAUUCAAAGAAAAGCGUUCGCGCGCCACUGAAGGCUAUGCACAUAAAGGUCCAGGUUUUACUAAAUGUGCCUUCUCUGAGGGUGGCGUUAAGUGCGGUGAACGUGCGAUGCCAUGCUGUAAAUACUGCCGCAAACAUAUUAUGGAAGACAAAAAACAAAUACUUUUCCGUGCCUGUGAGGUGGAGAAGAGCGGUGUUGUGUGCCAGGAACCAAUACCGUGCAUCUUUGACGAUGCAUCGACUUGUAUCUUGCAUUUGGCUAUACCCGCCCGCCGUCAAUAUAUACAAAAGGAUUACCCUAAAUAUGCUCCCGUAUCGUGAAGGAGCGAAAUACAGGGAAAGGGUAAUUUAAGACUGUGACGUUGUGAAAGCAAAAUAAACAAAUGCUUAAUUAUAAUAUAAAUAUAAUUAAAUGAAAUGUUAAUUAACAUUGCUUUUACUAUGGCCAAUAUGUUUGUGUAAUGUGCGAAAAGCGUUCAAAUUUAGGUACUAAUUGUAAUCACCAAAAGAAAACAAAAAAAAGUAUCAAAAGAUUGCACAACCACUUAAUGGAACUUAAUCGUUAAAAAUAUGAAUCGGAAACUGAAGAAGACGAUGCAAAGGAAAAAACCAAUUUGAAAUCGCCCAGUCAAACGAAUGUCAAAACGGAAAGUGCAGUUGCAACAUCGCCUAUACGAAAAACGGCAAUUUCGCAGCGCAGUGAGCCGAAGGCCACAACCUCAAAAGCCAGUAAAUAGUUUAAUUGUGUGCGCCCAACUAGUUUAAGUUUCAAAAUUCAAUAUUAUGUUAAAUGUUUUAAAGAUAUUUUUUAAUAUCUUACCCUGUUUUAGAAAAAUUCCUUAUAUAAGCGUUGCAAUAUUUACAUGACUAAUAAAGUACUAGUCGAUUUUAAA
Bactrocera oleae (olive fruit fly) is the source of this 2040-nucleotide RNA transcript. It is a transcript of the gene named KAT8 regulatory NSL complex subunit 2, with no coding region annotated. Lineage: Eukaryota; Metazoa; Arthropoda; Insecta; Diptera; Tephritidae. The record is from RefSeq and is a predicted model, not a curated record.